RNAcentral lists this ribosomal RNA (497 nucleotides) under uncultured bacterium. RNAcentral describes it as "partial 16S ribosomal RNA". It matches the Rfam family "Bacterial small subunit ribosomal RNA", at positions 28 to 507 of the family's 1533-position model. The record is from RNAcentral.
GAUGAACGCUGGCGGCGUGCCUAAUACAUGCAAGUCGAGCGAACAGACGAGGAGCUUGCUCCUCUGACGUUAGCGGCGGACGGGUGAGUAACACGUGGAUAACCUACCUAUAAGACUGGGAUAACUUCGGGAAACCGGAGCUAAUACCGGAUAAUAUAUUGAACCGCAUGGUUCAAUAGUGAAAGACGGUUUUGCUGUCACUUAUAGAUGGAUCCGCGCCGCAUUAGCUAGUUGGUAAGGUAACGGCUUACCAAGGCGACGAUGCGUAGCCGACCUGAGAGGGUGAUCGGCCACACUGGAACUGAGACACGGUCCAGAAUCCUACGGGAGGAAGCAGUAGGGAAUCUUCCGCAAUGGGCGAAAGCCUGACGGAGCAACGCCGCGUGAGUGAUGAAGGUCUUCGGAUCGUAAAACUCUGUUAUUAGGGAAGAACAAAUGUGUAAGUAACUAUGCACGUCUUGACGGUACCUAAUCAGAAAGCCACGGCUAACUACGUG